RNAcentral lists this transfer RNA (84 nucleotides) under Candidatus Woesearchaeota archaeon. Its description in RNAcentral is "tRNA-Ser". It matches the Rfam family "tRNA". Rfam says of the family: Transfer RNA (tRNA) molecules are approximately 80 nucleotides in length. Their secondary structure includes four short double-helical elements and three loops (D, anti-codon, and T loops). Lineage: Archaea; Nanobdellati; Candidatus Woesearchaeota. The record is from RNAcentral.
GCCGUGGUGGCACAACCUGGUACUGCGCAGGUCUUGAAAACCUGUUUCCGCAAGGAUAUCCCGGUUCAAAUCCGGGUCACGGCG